GUACACUCCUACGGGAGGCAGCAGUGGGGAAUAUUGCACAAUGGGCGCAAGCCUGAUGCAGCCAUGCCGCGUGUAUGAAGAAGGCCUUCGGGUUGUAAAGUACUUUCAGCGGGGAGGAAGGCGAUAAGGUUAAUAACCUUGUUGAUUGACGUUACCCGCAGAAGAAGCACCGGCUAACUCCGUGCCAGCAGCCGCGGUAAUACGGAGGGUGCAAGCGUUAAUCGGAAUUACUGGGCGUAAAGCGCACGCAGGCGGUCUGUCAAGUCGGAUGUGAAAUCCCCGGGCUCAACCUGGGAACUGCAUUCGAAACUGGCAGGCUAGAGUCUUGUAGAGGGGGGUAGAAUUCCAGGUGUAGCGGUGAAAUGCGUAGAGAUCUGGAGGAAUACCGGUGGCGAAGGCGGCCCCCUGGACAAAGACUGACGCUCAGGUGCGAAAGCGUGGGGAGCAAACAGGAUUAGAAACCCCUGUAGUCCC
RNAcentral lists this ribosomal RNA (474 nucleotides) under uncultured organism. RNAcentral describes it as "partial 16S ribosomal RNA". It matches the Rfam family "Bacterial small subunit ribosomal RNA", at positions 331 to 797 of the family's 1533-position model. The record is from RNAcentral.